UGGUGGAUUAGUGGCGAACGGGUGAGUAACACGUGGGCAAUCUGCCCUGCACUCUGGGACAAGCCCUGGAAACGGGGUCUAAUACCGGAUAUGACAUACGGCCGCAUGGUCUGUAUGUGGAAAGCUCCGGCGGUGCAGGAUGAGCCCGCGGCCUAUCAGCUUGUUGGUGGGGUGAUGGCCUACCAAGGCGACGACGGGUAGCCGGCCUGAGAGGGCGACCGGCCACACUGGGACUGAGACACGGCCCAGACUCCUACGGGAGGCAGCAGUGGGGAAUAUUGCACAAUGGGCGAAAGCCUGAUGCAGCGACGCCGCGUGAGGGAUGACGGCCUUCGGGUUGUAAACCUCUUUCAGCAGGGAAGAAGCGCAAGUGACGGUACCUGCAGAAGAAGCACCGGCUAACUACGUGCCAGCAGCCGCGGUAAUACGUAGGGUGCGAGCGUUGUCCGGAAUUAUUGGGCGUAAAGAGCUCGUAGGCGGCUUGUCACGUCGGAUGUGAAAGCCCGGGGCUUAACCCCGGGUCUGCAUUCGAUACGGGCAGGCUAGAGUUCGGUAGGGGAGAUCGGAAUUCCUGGUGUAGCGGUGAAAUGCGCAGAUAUCAGGAGGAACACCGGUGGCGAAGGCGGAUCUCUGGGCCGAUACUGACGCUGAGGAGCGAAAGCGUGGGGAGCGAACAGGAUUAGAUACCCUGGUAGUCCAC
Molecule: ribosomal RNA, 700 nt
Filed under: Streptomyces sp. KLBMP S0045
Lineage: Bacteria; Bacillati; Actinomycetota; Actinomycetes; Kitasatosporales; Streptomycetaceae
Description: bacterial SSU rRNA
Rfam family: Bacterial small subunit ribosomal RNA
Source: RNAcentral